CAGGUCCUUUCAACCCCUAAGCCAUGAUCUGAAGGAUUCCACAGAUUGUUGCUUAGCCUUUAUUCCCCUCAAACAAACUGUAAACACGAAGUCAUCUGCAGACAUUGAUGGAAAUCUGUACCGUAAUCCUUGCAUCUAAAUCAGAAUAUGAGCUCUUUGAUGGUAGGAGCCACUAUGUCUUUGUACUCUCAACCUUAUAUAGUUCCUGGAACAUGAUAUCACUGGGAUUGAAUACAUGGAACUGAAUCCAACUGAAUUGAAAGCCCUGGUGCCUAGCACAAUGCCUGGCAUACAAUAGGCACCUGAUAAGUACUUUUAAUAAACGUUCAGAACUAAACUCA
RNAcentral lists this long non-coding RNA (341 nucleotides) under Monodelphis domestica (gray short-tailed opossum). RNAcentral describes it as "lncRNA (ENSMODG00000033702.2)". Lineage: Eukaryota; Metazoa; Chordata; Mammalia; Didelphimorphia; Didelphidae. The record is from RNAcentral.